AGAGGCGCGCCAGCAACUACUGCGACCGGUUGUCCACCCUCCGGGUCUUUUUUCCUCUAUUUGACAUUACGUGUCCAUCUAGUGUAUAUAUAUACAUACUCGCACAGAGGGAGGUGAGCCGCGGCGCCAGGCGAGAAGGACCGUCAACGGCGAUCGGUACACCGGCAGCGUCAUCCCUCCGGCGUCAGAGAAGUAUAGCCGAGAGAUAUCGGCGAGGUGGUAAUUAUCCCAAAACACAUUUCCCCCCCCCCAUGUCCCCCUCGUAAAUGGACACAAUUAAAGAGUCUAUCCUCAACUGCUCUAAGUAUACGAUCGCUUCGACACGGCGGUUUGUAUGUACGACUCGUUGACGAUUAAAUCGAAGACGCGACCUCGGGGAAUACGGUGACGCGAGCAAAGAGUGUUUAUUUUAUUGUAACCUCGGGUGCAGUGGGCCAGUGGCCGGUAUCUUGUGAAUUCGUGGUCAGUAGUGGUAUCGAGAGUGCAGGGAGCCCCAGUGAAACAUUGUGCGCCCCGUGACGUAGGACUGCGAGGCGAGCACUAGCGUAGCUCGCGUGGCCGGGGAUCAAGGCGCCGACGGAAGGGGCCCCCCCCCCCGAUCGGUUUAAGCGCCACUUGUUGCACGCGCCGUACGUGCCCUCCGGGAUGUACAUUUGUCGAAAUAUUUAUCCUAUACGAUCGAUACGUCAUUGCUGGACGGUGGCUUUUUAUUUUUGCGUUGUUCGUUGUAACGAUCGAGCUUUUUUCGCAAAGUGCAAAGAAAAAAAAAAAAAAAAAAUUUUAAUCCCAUCUGAAGGUCGCACUGGUUUCCCCAAAAGUAUCGGUGUUGAACAUAAAUUGGGUAUGGCAUGAAACAGAAUUGAAAAAUCGUUUCUUCCUCGGUCGGGUGUUCGUUACUUUGUCCAAAUUGUCUGUUUUACAGGGCGAUUCUUUUGCAGUUGGAGGCGUGUUUCAUGCAAUAUCCCGGGAAGUAGGGUAAAAGCCUUCGGAAGUGAACCAAUAGUGCCAAUAAUCGUAAAUAAACGGCUCGGCGGUAUAGCCCAUAACGUUCGAUUAAUCCGCGCAGCGGAGCCGCCGUAUGGGUACGUUGCGGAAGUUUGCGCCGUCGCACGCAAUAGCCGCGAAAAAAAAAAAAAAAAAAAAAAACACGUUUCCGCGAGUCUUCCUCGAGAUCGACGUUGCUCGAUUCAUUCGUCUGGCCGAGUCUUGCCGUCAGCUCGAGUGCAAAGGUCUAUUUGUGCGUCAUAUAUAACCAAAGGUAUGAAAUUUACAUGCGUGUGUCUCUUACGCAAAAGAAAAAGAAAAUUAAAUAAAUCCUUGUAAAACGACUAAACCAAGUGACGGAUUAUUAUCAUUACAACGUAUUCGUUAUGUAUCAAUCAAUGAAAUAACGAAAGAAAUCUGUUUACACAUGAGGUUAUUGACGAGAUCUAAUUAUAACGAGUGAACAAAGAAAGAAAUAGUAUAUCAUACGAUUGACAAAAGUUGAAAAAUUGUAAAAAGAGCAAAAAAUAUUAGGUAUGCAGUAUUGAUUCUUCGCACAUUUGACCCUCUUCUUGGGGUGUUAGAAAAAUGUAGAAAAAGAAGGGGAGAAGAAAGAAAAAAGAAAAGAAAAAAAAUAAUGGGAAGAGAAAAAUCGGUGUAGGCAGGGAUUUAGUCGAAGAGAGGCAAGAA
This is a long non-coding RNA of Copidosoma floridanum, 1674 nucleotides long. NCBI's taxonomy places the organism in Eukaryota, Metazoa, Arthropoda, Insecta, Hymenoptera, Encyrtidae. The record is from RefSeq and is a predicted model, not a curated record.